Molecule: long non-coding RNA, 1778 nt
Filed under: Salmo salar (Atlantic salmon)
Lineage: Eukaryota; Metazoa; Chordata; Actinopteri; Salmoniformes; Salmonidae
Description: lncRNA (ENSSSAG00000087011.1)
Source: RNAcentral
GCAACAUACACUUGAAACAAAUAGCCAAACCGAAAACUGCAGACAAAAAUGCUUUCUGCCACUAAGAUCAGUGAAAUGUACGCUAAACUGACAAAGGAGUGGAGAGCAGAAACGACAACUAGCAAUCAAGUCGCAGCAAUGAAGAACGCGAAGGGGGGGAUUCUGGCAGAGGGGAGAUUUUCAGCACAACACCUGUGCCGAAGCAAAUGCUACGUACGUUUUACAGGUAUAACAUAUACCUUAUGUAUUUCACCGAAAAUCCCUCAUAUUUAUUAUAAUUCAUUGUUUUAAGGUUAUUUUGAGAUGUGUUGCACUACUUUUAAGAGUGAACUAUUGUAUUGUAUUUAUUUUCUAAAUUGUGUUAAUGCUGUGAGGUCAUCAACGGGAGCCAUGCUUUUACUCUUCGGUUUGCUCAGCGCGUGAUGAGGAGAGGCAAUAAACUUGUGUAUGGUAGUCCAAACGGCAGCAUCAACAUUUGCUUUGUAUUUGUGUCCAUUCCAUGCAGUCACUAAAAGAGAGACAACCGGCAGAAUUGUGUCCAGACUUGUCUUCCACCUACACCUCACCAGAACACAACGCAGAAAGAUUUCCUGUCAUCAACCUCUUGCCUGAUCUCCCGGACUACGUUAUUAGCCUUUUUCCCUGCCUGUACUGUUACCUUUUUGGAAUCCCUGUGUAUGACCUUCUACCUGUCCCUGGACCAUGCUACCUGCCUCCUCCUGUGGUUCUUUACACCUGCUGCGCCCUGCGCUUGAAACCAGCACUUUGUCUCCCAUCAUACUCAUUACAGGUGGACAUGUUUAGUAAUUAGUGUGUGUGUGUGUAAGAUGUGGGGAGAAAUCCAAUUUGACAUUUACUAAAUUACAUUUUGUUCUUGAAGAAAGGUUUGAAUUCAAAAUGCUAUAGAAAACCUUUCCCAAGUUGUUAUUUAUGCAAAUUCCCCUGUAAUUAUUGGGGUCUGAUUUGUCUCCACUCUUGUGGACAGGGGAAAAGUUAAUACCAUAUUGAACAAUUUAAGCACAGCAUUUAGCAACUCAGGUGUGCUGUUUUUCAGUAUUUCAUUUCUGAUGUUUUCAAGACCACAAGCCUUUUGAUUUUUUAGAUUUGAGCUUUUCAUUUAGUUCUUGUUGGGUUAUUGGGCAAUUUUUUAUGGAUUUUGUUUGUUUUUAAUAACAGAACCAACAUCUUUUUGUGGGGUGUUUUUUGUAAAGAGGAUCACAAUACGUUUCCCAAAUUCCUUCAUCUUGUAUGGCUAAUUCAUGUGGCUUUGUCGUGCUUAAAUUGUUCCACAUGUUUCAGAACUCAUUUUGUUCAAUUGCGUUUUCAAUUUCGUCAAGUGUCUUGUUAGUAUAAUUCAAUUUCUUGCGUUUCAGUGUAUGUUUCUAGCGUGGCUCUGGGUUGUUUGCUGCUUAUGGUUUUCAUUUGACAUUUUGUCUUAGGUGUUUUCUAAUUCUUUUACAUUCAUUGUCAAACCAUUUUUCAGAAAUGUUUUGUUUCUUUGGUUUUCUCAAAUUUGCUUUUGAUGCUGUUUUUUGGAAUAUGCAAUUGUUGUUUUGAGUAGCUGAAUUGACACCUUUUUUAUUGUUUUGGUAUUGUGAGUUAUUGAAGAACUUUAUAGAGUUCAAUGUAUCUCUCUGCACUGUUUUGAGCCCGUCUGUACAAUUGGUUAUGUUGAGAGUUUAUUGGGCUGUUUUUUUUUCAUGAAUAUUGACGGUUAAUUUCUUCAGAAACAGGUUGAUCUGACUGAUCUGACAAUGGUGUCUGUGGUCUGACAGUGA